UGUACCUUCGCAACCAUGGAGGAUGAGCUUUCGUUGGUAGAAGAACAAAAGAAUGAAGUCCAACAAGAACAACAAGAACUCCUCCACGACCAAGUCGAACAACUGAAAUGUUCCAACACAGCCCUAUUUGCAGAGAUCGACAUGUGUGAGCGCUUCAUCGGUCGCAUUGAUCCUCGAGACCUGGUGUCCAAGGCUGGGGGAGACGGUCCGGGGGCAGGAGCCUCCAACCUCGAGGGUGGGCCAUUAUUUGAUCAAUAUUCUGUGCGGCCCUCACACCCCCCGUGAUUUUCUGGUCCUGGUGGGGGAGUUCACCGAGGGGAGGAGCACGUAUGUCCGGCCCCCCCCCAAAAGGAAACGGCAAAACCCUCUACGACAGUUGUGUGGACAGCGAGAGCAACCCCAGCAUCUAUGUUGUCUUUGAGAAACAACAGAUCUAUCCAGAGUAUCUCAUCGACUACUCAUGAGUUACAAUGCUGACUGUCAAACUUAUUAUGGGGUGCACUUCACUUUGACUGGGAUUAGUGGGUUUUGUUUCUUUAGUUGAAGGACAAGUAGUCGUUUUAUUUACUGAUAAUGUUAUGUUAUUCUCUGAAGACUAGACGUGUAGAGGGGGUUACUUUGUGCGAUUGUUAGUGUCUUGAUCAAUUUGUGAAAUUAUGCUUUUCCUUGACCAAACCUUUGCUGCAGGUCAUUAAUGGAGUAAAUAAUAGUUAAUGAGGGGCACAUAUAAUCUGGUGUUCAGAUAUGGAAUGAACUGGUUGUAAUAUGUAUAUUACAGUGUAUUACACUACUUGUUGAAUAUUAGCUGAGCAAAAUCACAGAUUAAACUAUUCCAUCUGCCCACUGAGGAAACUGCAGAGGACCCAAAUAAAAACAAUAAUAUCAAUAUGUAUAGUCCAAAUGAAUUACUGUUGGGUCUCAAGAGCAGGACUGGAAAACAAAUUAAAAAUAUCAUAUUUGGUAACAAUAGCUAAGUAUUUCCUCCUAGCAUAUAACACUAUAGGGACAUUGAGUAAAUGUAAGUUUCUGUUCAAAUUAUACUGUAUUUGUUUGUUAAAAUGCUAUAAAUAAAGUAGAGAAGAAAAACAUCAA
Long non-coding RNA from Pseudoliparis swirei, 1092 nucleotides. RefSeq lists it as uncharacterized. The transcript is spliced from 3 exons. The record is from RefSeq and is a predicted model, not a curated record. Lineage: Eukaryota; Metazoa; Chordata; Actinopteri; Perciformes; Liparidae.